Molecule: ribosomal RNA, 595 nt
Filed under: Fusarium oxysporum f. sp. ciceris
Lineage: Eukaryota; Fungi; Ascomycota; Sordariomycetes; Hypocreales; Nectriaceae
Description: eukaryotic LSU rRNA
Rfam family: 5.8S ribosomal RNA (bases 131-284)
Source: RNAcentral
AACCCCUGUGAACAUACCAAUUGUUGCCUCGGCGGAUCAGCCCGCUCCCGGUAAAACGGGACGGCCCGCCAGAGGACCCCUAAACUCUGUUUCUAUAUGUAACUUCUGAGUAAAACCAUAAAUAAAUCAAAACUUUCAACAACGGAUCUCUUGGUUCUGGCAUCGAUGAAGAACGCAGCAAAAUGCGAUAAGUAAUGUGAAUUGCAGAAUUCAGUGAAUCAUCGAAUCUUUGAACGCACAUUGCGCCCGCCAGUAUUCUGGCGGGCAUGCCUGUUCGAGCGUCAUUUCAACCCUCAAGCCCCCGGGUUUGGUGUUGGGGAUCGGCGAGCCCUUGCGGCAAGCCGGCCCCGAAAUCUAGUGGCGGUCUCGCUGCAGCUUCCAUUGCGUAGUAGUAAAACCCUCGCAACUGGUACGCGGCGCGGCCAAGCCGUUAAACCCCCAACUUCUGAAUGUUGACCUCGGAUCAGGUAGGAAUACCCGCUGAACUUAAGCAUAUCAAUAAAGCCGGAGGAAUACAACUCCCAAACCCCUGUGAACAUACCAAUUGUUGCCUCGGCGGAUCAGCCCGCUCCCGGUAAAACGGGACGGCCCCGCC